AACGAACGCUGGCGGCAUGCCUAACACAUGCAAGUCGAACGAGACCUUCGGGUCUAGUGGCGCACGGGUGCGUAACGCGUGGGAACCUGCCCUUAGGUUCGGAAUAACUCCCCGAAAGGGGUGCUAAUACCGGAUAAUGUCUUCGGACCAAAGAUUUAUCGCCUUUGGAUGGGCCCGCGUUGGAUUAGCUAGUUGGUAGGGUAAAAGCCUACCAAGGCGACGAUCCAUAGCUGGUCUGAGAGGAUGAUCAGCCACACUGGGACUGAGACACGGCCCAGACUCCUACGGGAGGCAGCAGUGGGGAAUAUUGGACAAUGGGCGAAAGCCUGAUCCAGCAAUGCCGCGUGAGUGAGGAAGGCCGUAGGGUUGUAAAGCUCUUUUACCCGGGAUGAUAAUGACAGUACCGGGAGAAGAAGCGCCGGCUAACUCCGUG
This 433-nucleotide ribosomal RNA is filed under the name uncultured bacterium. RNAcentral's name for it is "partial 16S ribosomal RNA". It matches the Rfam family "Bacterial small subunit ribosomal RNA", at positions 29 to 507 of the family's 1533-position model. The record is from RNAcentral.